UGGUUCUCCCCGAAAGCUAUUUAGGUAGCGCCUCGUGAAUUCAUCUCCGGGGGUAGAGCACUGUUUCGGCUAGGGGGCCAUCCCGGCUUACCAACCCGAUGCAAACUGCGAAUACCGGAGAAUGUUAUCACGGGAGACACACGGCGGGUGCUAACGUCCGUCGUGAAGAGGGAAACAACCCAGACCGCCAGCUAAGGUCCCAAAGUCAUGGUUAAGUGGGAAACGAUGUGGGAAGGCCCAGACAGCCAGGAUGUUGGCUUAGAAGCAGCCAUCAUUUAAAGAAAGCGUAAUAGCUCACUGGUCGAGUCGGCCUGCGCGGAAGAUGUAACGGGGCUAAACCAUGCACCGAAGCUGCGGCAGCGAACGUAUCACCCAAGACAACUUUACGGAGUUGACGAUUGACGGAGCGAAGCGACGUCAAAGCGUUCAUUAAAGUCGAGUUGGCUUAGGGAUACGUUCGUUGGGUAGGGGAGCGUUCUGUAAGCCUGUGAAGGUGUGUCGUGAGGCAUGCUGGAGGUAUCAGAAGUGCGAAUGCUGACAUAAGUAACGAUAAAGCGGGUGAAAAGCCCGCUCGCCGGAAGACCAAGGGUUCCUGUCCAACGUUAAUCGGGGCAGGGUGAGUCGACCCCUAAGGCGAGGCCGAAAGGCGUAGUCGAUGGGAAACGGGUUAAUAUUCCCGUACUUGGUGUUACUGCGAAGGGGGGACGGAGAAGGCUAUGUUGGCCGGGCGACGGUUGUCCCGGUUUAAGCGUGUAGGUGUGUGUUCCAGGUAAAUCCGGUUCACUUUAACACUGAGGCGUGACGACGAGGCA
RNAcentral lists this ribosomal RNA (812 nucleotides) under Salmonella enterica subsp. enterica serovar Typhimurium. RNAcentral describes it as "partial 23S ribosomal RNA". It matches the Rfam family "Bacterial large subunit ribosomal RNA", at positions 850 to 1576 of the family's 2925-position model. The record is from RNAcentral. Lineage: Bacteria; Pseudomonadati; Pseudomonadota; Gammaproteobacteria; Enterobacterales; Enterobacteriaceae.